Non-coding RNA from Cinara cedri, 484 nucleotides. NCBI's taxonomy places the organism in Eukaryota, Metazoa, Arthropoda, Insecta, Hemiptera, Aphididae. The record is from the annotation of a GenBank genome assembly.
AUAAAAUAUUAUGGCAUAUCAUUAAAAUUUACCCGAAAAAAAAAAAAUGAUUUGCCUAUGUACCUCUGGGCAAUAUAAGUUCUGAUUGAGAACGAAUGACUAUACAAAUAUAUAGUAGCUAUAUAUUGUGAUAACCUCAUGCAUUCAGGUAGAUGGGUACUAUACAUAAACGAUCACCGCAUUAUUGGCUAUUUACGAUAAUAAUUAACCGUUUUGUUUCGGCUACGUCGUAGAAUGAUUUCUCAAUCGCAUUCCCGCCUGGUCCCAAAAAUAGACAAUUAUUAUUUUGAAUAACGCGUUGAAUUAUAAUUCAGAUAUCUGUCGUUAUCUUUCGAUGGUUAAUAUUCAUAUGUUCCUUAUUUUCAUCUUAGAUGACAUCGAUAGCAACGGUGUUGUUCCUUUUGAAAUCUCUGAUGCCAUCUGAAAUGGUUUUAUCACUCACUUUGUUUCUGAGUAGAUUAUUGAGAUGUGAUGGACUAGAUAU